RNAcentral lists this ribosomal RNA (450 nucleotides) under uncultured bacterium. Its description in RNAcentral is "bacterial SSU rRNA". It matches the Rfam family "Bacterial small subunit ribosomal RNA", at positions 355 to 796 of the family's 1533-position model. The record is from RNAcentral.
UGGGGAAUUUUGCGCAAUGGGCGAAAGCCUGACGCAGUAACGCCGCGUGGAGGAUGAAGGCCCUCGGGUUGUAAACUCCUGUCAGGGGGAACGACGGGCCUCGGGGGAUAAGCCCGGGGACCCAGACGGUACCUCCAAAGGAAGCCCCGGCUAAUUCCGUGCCAGCAGCCGCGGUAAUACGGAAGGGGCAAGCGUUGUUCGGAAUCAUUGGGCGUAAAGGGCGCGUAGGUGGUUUUGUAUGUCUCCCGUGAAAGCGUACAGCUCAACUGUAGGAGGUCGGGAGAAACUGCAGGACUUGAGGCUGGGAGGGGCUGGUGGAAUUCCCUGUGUAGCGGUGAAAUGCGUAGAGAUGGGGGAGAACACUCGUGGCGAAGGCGGCCAGCUAGACCAGUUCUGACACUGAGGCGCGACAGCGUGGGGAGCAAACAGGAUUAGAUACCCGCGUAGUCC